Long non-coding RNA from Cyprinus carpio (common carp), 279 nucleotides. RefSeq lists it as uncharacterized. The transcript is spliced from 3 exons. The record is from RefSeq and is a predicted model, not a curated record. Lineage: Eukaryota; Metazoa; Chordata; Actinopteri; Cypriniformes; Cyprinidae.
GGGGGAAGUACUACGGCGGGCCGGCGACGGUCUGGUCACUAGGGAUUGUGAUGUUCGCAUUGUUGUGUGGACACUUCCCUAGUGACUAUGACCUGUUCCUGCUGCAGUGCAAGCGCUGGUCCAAACCCGGCCUGUCAAAAGAAUGCUGUGACCUCCUCAGGGCUCUCCUGCACGAGAAGCCAAGCCAGAGACUUGGUCUGGGGCGAAUCAUGUCCCACAACUGGUUUAAGACCAUCUCUGUCCCACAGAUACCCGUCUCAGCAACCCUGGUCUCCGAGC